GGAUCAAGCUGAUCCGGAAGUGGA
RNAcentral lists this microRNA (24 nucleotides) under Glycine max (soybean). RNAcentral describes it as "gma-miR4369". The record is from miRBase by way of RNAcentral. Lineage: Eukaryota; Viridiplantae; Streptophyta; Magnoliopsida; Fabales; Fabaceae.